CGAAUCAGGGAUCCGGGAGGCAUGUGUACUCGUGACAUUAGGCUUAUCUACUUUAUCUAUGAGGCAAAGGAUUGGAUUCGCUCUUAUAUCAAAAUCGUAACUCAAAUGUCUCAAAUGUGUACAUGAAACUGAUUUUUAAACCCUGAAUUAUUUCAGUGCACUCUUUAAAAAAUAUUGGCAACAGGAUUGUAUUCGCUAAGAACUCCUUGCCUGCCGAGAAGCUGGUGGGCGUCCAUUCACCGCCGCAGUUCUUUAUGAAGAGGAACGCCUUUUCUCUGUGCACGUCGCGUUCCACCGCCCCGCAGAUGACAGGGCCGGCUCGAGGGAGAUACUUCAAGAUCUAUAGAUUUAAAAAAGUGACUGAUAAAUCAAAUAUGCUGGUUAUGUACUAAAACAGAGUGAGAAGGUGUGUAAUGAAUAGAAGCUAAAUUAUAAUAAUAAAUUGAUUGUUCGUAA
Long non-coding RNA from Helicoverpa zea (corn earworm), 456 nucleotides. RefSeq lists it as uncharacterized. The record is from RefSeq and is a predicted model, not a curated record. Lineage: Eukaryota; Metazoa; Arthropoda; Insecta; Lepidoptera; Noctuidae. The transcript has 2 exons.